GAUAAUAUUGCUGGAUUGUAUAGUGAGACUAUGAUUAACUUUGUAAGAAACUGCCAAACUUUUUUCCAAAGUGACUAUAAAAUUUUGCAUUCCCACAAGGAAU
RNAcentral lists this microRNA precursor (103 nucleotides) under Marmota monax (woodchuck). The record is from RNAcentral. Lineage: Eukaryota; Metazoa; Chordata; Mammalia; Rodentia; Sciuridae.